GCUGAUAUGGCUCAGUUGGUAGAGCGCACCCUUGGUAAGGGUGAGGUCCCCAGUUUCGACUCUGGGUAUCAGCACCA
Molecule: transfer RNA, 77 nt
Filed under: Escherichia coli
Lineage: Bacteria; Pseudomonadati; Pseudomonadota; Gammaproteobacteria; Enterobacterales; Enterobacteriaceae
Description: tRNA-Thr(ggt)
Rfam family: tRNA
About the family: Transfer RNA (tRNA) molecules are approximately 80 nucleotides in length. Their secondary structure includes four short double-helical elements and three loops (D, anti-codon, and T loops). Further hydrogen bonds mediate the characteristic L-shaped molecular structure. tRNAs have two regions of fundamental functional importance: the anti-codon, which is responsible for specific mRNA codon recognition, and the 3' end, to which the tRNAs corresponding amino acid is attached (by aminoacyl-tRNA synthetases). tRNAs cope with the degeneracy of the genetic code in two manners: having more than one tRNA (with a specific anti-codon) for a particular amino acid; and 'wobble' base-pairing, i.e. permitting non-standard base-pairing at the 3rd anti-codon position.
Source: RNAcentral